AGGAUCAUUAUUGAAAUAAACCUGAUGGGUUGCUGCUGGUUCUCUAGGGAGCAUUGUGCACGCUCGUCAUUUUUAUGUCUCCACCUGUGCAUCUUUUGUAGACCUGGAUGUCUUUCUGAAGCAAUUUGGGAUUUGAGGGUUGAAUGAAAUCUUCCUUCUUUCUUUUUUCAGGUCUAUGUUUUUCCAUAUACCCCAAUGUAUGUUAUAGAAUGUGCAUUAUAAAUGGGCCUUUUUUUGUGUCCAUGUUAUAAAUCUGUACAACUUUCAGCAACGGAUCUCUUGGCUCUCGCAUCGAUGAAGAACGCAGCGAAAUGCGAUAAGUAAUGUGAAUUGCAGAAUUCAGUGAAUCAUCGAAUCUUUGAACGCACCUUGCGCUCCUUGGUAUUCCGAGGAGCAUGCCUGUUUGAGUGUCAUUAAUAUAGUCAACCUCUUUGGUUGGAUUUGGGGGUUGUUGGACUCUUUCUGAGGUCAGCUCCUCUAAAAUGCAUUAGCGAAACAGUCUGUCAAUCGUUCAUUGGUGUGAUAAUUAUCUACGCUAUUGACGUGAGAAGGCAGGUUUUGUUUAGCUUCAUAACAGUCCAUUGACUUGGACAAGAACAAAUUAUUAAUGUGACCUCAAAUCAGGUAGGACUACCCGCUGAACUUAAGCAUAUCAAUAAGCGGAGGAAAAGAAACUAACAAGGAUUCCCUUAGUAACUGCGAGUGAAGCGGGAAAAGCUCAAAUUUAAAAUCUGGCAGUCCUUUGGCUGUCCGAGUUGUAAUCUAGAGAAGUGCUAUCCGCGCUGGACCAUGUACAAGUCUCCUGGAAUGGAGCGUCAUAGAGGGUGAGAAUCCCGUCUUUGACAUGGACUGCCAGGGCUUCUGUGAUGCGCUCUCAAAGAGUCGAGUUGUUUGGGAAUGCAGCUCAAAAUGGGUGGUAAAUUCCAUCUAAAGCUAAAUAUUGGCGAGAGACCGAUAGCGAACAAGUACCGUGAGGGAAAGAUGAAAAGAACUUUGGAAAGAGAGUUAAACAGUACGUGAAAUUGCUGAAAGGGAAACGCUUGAAGUCAGUCACGUCGUCCAGAGAUCAGCCUUGCUUUUGCUUGGUGCACUUUCUGGUUUGACGGGUCAGCAUCAAUUUUGACCAUUGGAAAAAGAUUAGGGGAAUGUGGCAUCUUUGGAUGUGUUAUAGCCCUUGGUUGCAUACAAUGGUUGGGAUUGAGGAACUCAGCACGCCGCAAGGCCGGGUGUUACCACGUACGUG
RNAcentral lists this ribosomal RNA (1243 nucleotides) under Hebeloma sp. 2D3. RNAcentral describes it as "eukaryotic LSU rRNA". The stretch from base 611 to 1243 matches the Rfam family "Eukaryotic large subunit ribosomal RNA", at positions 1 to 621 of the family's 3401-position model. Lineage: Eukaryota; Fungi; Basidiomycota; Agaricomycetes; Agaricales; Hymenogastraceae. The record is from RNAcentral.